Molecule: unclassified non-coding RNA, 240 nt
Filed under: soil metagenome
Description: partial contains 5.8S ribosomal RNA, internal transcribed spacer 2, and large subunit ribosomal RNA
Source: RNAcentral
AACGCACGAGACCUGCGGACCUGCGGAAGGAUCAUUAAUGAGAAACUGCCCCUCGCGGGUAGAUCUCCCACCCUUUGUAAACUUACCUUUGUUGCUUUGGCAGGCCCGUCUCCGGACCGCCGGCUUCGGCUGGCCAGUGCCUGCCAGAGGAUUCUAAAACUCUGUCUGUCAGUGUUGUCUGAGUCUAUAUACAAUCGUUAAAACUUUUAACAACGGAUCUCUAGAUCGGAAGAGCACACG